UGAGGAAUAUUGGUCAAUGGGCGCGAGCCUGAACCAGCCAAGUAGCGUGCGGGACGAAGGCCCUAUGGGUUGUAAACCGCUUUUUCUAGGGGGAGUAAAGUGCGUCACGUGUGAUGCAUUGCAGGUACCCUGCGAAUAAGGACCGGCUAAUUCCGUGCCAGCAGCCGCGGUAAUACGGAAGGUUCGGGCGUUAUCCGGAUUUAUUGGGUUUAAAGGGAGCACAGGCCGGCUGUCAAAGCGUGUUGUGAAAUGUAGGGGCUCAAACCUCUGAGUUGCAGCGCGAACUGACGGUCUUGAGUACGCACAACGUUGGCGGAAUUUGUCGUGUAGCAGUGAAAUGCUUAGAUAUGGCGAAGAACUCCGAUUGCGAAGGCGGCUGACGGGAGCGCGACUGACGCUUAAGCUCGAAAGUGCGGGUAUCGAACAGGAUUAGAUA
This 436-nucleotide ribosomal RNA is filed under the name uncultured Prevotella sp. RNAcentral describes it as "bacterial SSU rRNA". It matches the Rfam family "Bacterial small subunit ribosomal RNA", at positions 355 to 784 of the family's 1533-position model. Lineage: Bacteria; Pseudomonadati; Bacteroidota; Bacteroidia; Bacteroidales; Prevotellaceae. The record is from RNAcentral.